CAGUCGCCACGGGAAUACGUAGGGUGCAAGCGUUAAUCGGAAUUACUGGGCGUAAAGAGUGUGUAGGCGGUGCUCUAAGUUCGGUGUGAAAUCUCCCGGCUCAACUGGGAGGGUGCGCCGGAAACUGGAGUGCUCGAGCGUGGGAGAGGAAAGCGGAAUUCCUGGUGUAGCGGUGAAAUGCGUAGAUAUCAGGAGGAACACCUGUGGUGUAGACGGCUUUCUGGACCAUUGCUGACGCUGAGACACGAAAGCGUGGGUAGCAAACAGGAUUAGAUACCCGCGUAGUCCCUGUCUCUUAUAC
Molecule: ribosomal RNA, 301 nt
Filed under: uncultured bacterium
Lineage: Bacteria
Description: partial 16S ribosomal RNA
Rfam family: Bacterial small subunit ribosomal RNA
Source: RNAcentral